GACGAACGCUGGCGGCGUGCUUAACACAUGCAAGUCGAACGGAAAGGCCCUGCUUUUGUGGGGUGCUCGAGUGGCGAACGGGUGAGUAACACGUUGGUAACCUGCCCUUUACUUUGGUAUAACUUCAGGAAACUGGGGCUAAUACCGGAUAGGAGCUCCUGCUGCAUGGUGGGGGUUGGAAAGUUUCGGCGGUUGGGGAUGGACUCGCGGCUUAUCAGCUUGUUGGUGGGGUAGUGGCUUACCAAGGCUUUGACGGGUAGCCGGCCUGAGAGGGUGACCGGCCACAUUGGGACUGAGAUACGGCCCAGACUCCUACGGGAGGCAGCAGUGGGGAAUAUUGCACAAUGGGCGGAAGCCUGAUGCAGCAACGCCGCGUGCGGGAUGACGGCCUUCGGGUUGUAAACCGCUUUCGCCUGUGACGAAGCGUGAGUGACGGUAAUGGGUAAAGAAGCACCGGCUAACUACGUG
This 468-nucleotide ribosomal RNA is filed under the name uncultured bacterium. RNAcentral describes it as "partial 16S ribosomal RNA". It matches the Rfam family "Bacterial small subunit ribosomal RNA", at positions 28 to 507 of the family's 1533-position model. The record is from RNAcentral.